This 371-nucleotide ribosomal RNA is filed under the name uncultured Armatimonadota bacterium. Its description in RNAcentral is "uncultured Armatimonadetes bacterium partial 16S ribosomal RNA". It matches the Rfam family "Bacterial small subunit ribosomal RNA", at positions 338 to 723 of the family's 1533-position model. The record is from RNAcentral. Lineage: Bacteria; Bacillati; Armatimonadota.
CCUACGGGGGGCAGCAAUUAGGAAUCUUGCGCAAUGGGCGAAAGCCUGACGCAGCGACGCCGCGUGACCGAUGAAGUCCUUCGGGAUGUAAAGGUCUUUUGCCAGGGAAGAAGAACGUGACGGUACCUGGCGAAUAAGCCCCGGCUAACUACGUGCCAGCAGCCGCGGUAAGACGUAGGGGGCGAGCGUUGUCCGAAGUUACUGGGCGUAAAGCGCGCGUAGGCGGCCUCUUAAGUUGGGUGUGAAAUCCUGCGGCCCAACCGCAGAACUGCAUCCAAAACUGGGAGGCUUGAGGACGGAAGAGGGCAGUGGAAUUCCUGUUGUAGCGGUGAAAUGCGUAGAUAUCAGGAGGACCGCCCGUGGCGAAGGCG